AUACGGAGGGUGCGAGCGUUAAUCGGAAUUACUGGGCGUAAAGGGUGCGUAGGCGGCUUGAUAAGUCGGAUGUGAAAGCCCCGGGCUUAACCUGGGAAUUGCAUUCGAUACUGUCAGGCUAGAGUAUGUCAGAGGUUGGCGGAAUUCCUGGUGUAGCGGUGAAAUGCGUAGAUAUCAGGAGGAACACCAGUGGCGAAGGCGGCUAACUGGGACAAUACUGACGCUGAGGCACGAAAGCGUGGGGAGCAAACAGGAUUAGAAACCCCAGUAGUCC
RNAcentral lists this ribosomal RNA (274 nucleotides) under uncultured bacterium. RNAcentral's name for it is "partial 16S ribosomal RNA". It matches the Rfam family "Bacterial small subunit ribosomal RNA", at positions 523 to 796 of the family's 1533-position model. The record is from RNAcentral.